Long non-coding RNA from Manis pentadactyla (Chinese pangolin), 644 nucleotides. RefSeq lists it as uncharacterized. The record is from RefSeq and is a predicted model, not a curated record. The transcript is spliced from 3 exons. Lineage: Eukaryota; Metazoa; Chordata; Mammalia; Pholidota; Manidae.
UGGGCUUCGCUUGCAGCGUCCCGGGAGGGAGGGCCAGGAAUGCGUCAUUGCUGCUCCUCCGUGGCCUCAUCCGACACCAUGAGCGGCGGCUUCUUCACCACCAAGCGUUGAUGGCAUUGCUGACUCUAUUCUAGGCCUUCGUUGAUGCCUCCCAUGUGUUUUUUGAAGGUGGACAUAAGCCGACCUCAGUCUGGGGCUCAGUCAGGCCCACUGCCAUGUCUUGUCCUCCUGAAGCCUCCACCUGCCACCCCAGGUGUGACAAGGCCGUCCCACUUUGGCUGGUGGGGAUGUGAGCUCUUCCCAGACACACCCGGAUUGGACAGUGAUGUUGGCUUGGGACCCCUUCGCUCCAGCUCCAUUUGUGGAGCUCCUGGGCCCCAUCACUGUGCUUGCCCAGAAAGCAGCCUCGUCUUGCUCACCACACAUGUUCUGAAGAUGUUGUCUCCUGGAAGAAACGUGUUUUUCAGUCUUCAGGCUUAUCCAUUGCAGAGCUCCAGGGAACACCUUCACACCUCCUCCCAGAAAACACACUGUGAGCAAACCCUGGUGUUGUCUGCAGUGGGUCUUCCUGUAGGGCAGAGGUGGGCUCUUUGACACAUGCCUUGAAAAUGCUUUUUCUAGUUUUCCAUUUGCCUUAAAGUGUU